Molecule: ribosomal RNA, 380 nt
Filed under: Phlogistomorpha apicalis
Lineage: Eukaryota; Metazoa; Arthropoda; Insecta; Coleoptera; Cleridae
Description: partial 12S ribosomal RNA
Source: RNAcentral
AAUUAAAAAAUUUGGCGGUAUUUUAGUCUUUUCAGAGGAACCUGUUCUGUAAUUGAUAGUCCACGAUUAAUUGUACUUACUUUAAAAAUUUAUAUAUCGUCGUAGUUUGAAUGUUUUAUUAGAAUAAAUAAUGUUCAUGAUUUAUAAUUAUAAAAAAAAUCAGAUCAAGGUGUAGUUAAUAAGUAAGAAGAAAUGGGUUACAUUUAAUUUAUUAUUGAAUUAUUUUAUGAAAAUAAAGUUUGAAAUUGGAUUUGAAAGUAAAUUUAAAAAUUUAUUUAAAUUGAUUUAAGCUCUAAAAUAUGCACAUAUUGCCCGUCACUUUCGUUUUAAAAUGAGAUAAGUCGUAACAAAGUAGAUUUACUGGAAAGUGAAUCUAGAAG